UACGUAGGGUGCAAGCGUUGUCCGGAAUUAUUGGGCGUUAAGAGCUCGUAGGCGGUUCGUCGCGUCGGCUGUGAAAUCCCGAGGCUCAACCUCGGGUCUGCAGUCGAUACGGGCGGACUGGAGUUCGGCAGGGGAGACUGGAAUUCCUGGUGUAGCGGUGAAAUGCGCAGAUAUCAGGAGGAACACCGGUGGCGAAGGCGGGUCUCUGGGCCUAUACUGACGCUGAGGAGCGAAAGCGUGGGGAGCGAACAGG
Molecule: ribosomal RNA, 253 nt
Filed under: uncultured bacterium
Lineage: Bacteria
Description: partial 16S ribosomal RNA
Rfam family: Bacterial small subunit ribosomal RNA
Source: RNAcentral